GAUGAACGCUGGCGGCGUGCCUAAUACAUGCAAGUCGAGCGAACAGACUAGUAGCUUGCUCCUCUGACGUUAGCGGCGGACGGGUGAGUAACACGUGGAUAACCUACCUAUAAGACUGGGAUAACUUCGGGAAACCGGCGCUAAUACCGGAUAAUAUAUUUAACCGCAUGGUUCAAUAGUGAAAGACGGUUUUGCUUUCACUUAUAGAUUGAUCCGCGCCGCAUUAGCUAGUUGGUAAGGUAACGGCUUACCAAGGCAACGAUGCGUAGCCGACCUGAGAGGGGGAUAGGCCACACUGGAACUGAGACACGGUCAAGACUCCUAAGGGAGGCAGCAGUAGGGAAUCUUACGCAAUGGGCGAAAGCAUGACGGAGCAACGGCGCGUGAGUGAUGAAGGUCUUCGGAUCGUAAAACUCUGUUAUUAGGGAAGAACAAAUGUGUAAGGAACUAUGCACGUAGUGACGGUACCUAAUCAGAAAGCCACGGCUAACUACGUG
This 497-nucleotide ribosomal RNA is filed under the name uncultured bacterium. Its description in RNAcentral is "partial 16S ribosomal RNA". It matches the Rfam family "Bacterial small subunit ribosomal RNA", at positions 28 to 507 of the family's 1533-position model. The record is from RNAcentral.